RNAcentral lists this non-coding RNA (31 nucleotides) under Homo sapiens (human). Lineage: Eukaryota; Metazoa; Chordata; Mammalia; Primates; Hominidae. The record is from RNAcentral.
UCCUCAAUCUCCCUCCUCCUAAAAUGAGGGC